This 253-nucleotide ribosomal RNA is filed under the name uncultured prokaryote. Its description in RNAcentral is "partial 16S ribosomal RNA". It matches the Rfam family "Bacterial small subunit ribosomal RNA", at positions 524 to 776 of the family's 1533-position model. The record is from RNAcentral.
UACGGGGGGGGCAAGCGUUGUUCGGAAUUACUGGGCGUAAAGGGCGCGUAGGCGGUUUGCUAAGUUGAAUGUGAAAACUCUGGGCUUAACCCAGAGCCUGCAUUCAAUACUGGCAGGCUAGAGUUCUGGAGGGGAUAGCGGAAUUCCUGGUGUAGCGGUGAAAUGCGUAGAUAUCGAGAGGAACACCUGCGGCGAAGGCGGGUUGCUGGGCUGACACUGACGCUGAUGUGCGAAAGCUAGGGGAGCGAACGGG